CGGACGGGUGAGUAACGCGUGAGAAUCUGCCUUCAGGUUCGGGACAACCACUGGAAACGGUGGCUAAUACCGAAUGUGCAGAAAUGUGAAAUAUUUAUAGCCUGAAGAUGAGCUCGCGUCUGAUUAGCUAGUAGGUGUGGUAAGAGCGCACCUAGGCGACGAUCAGUAGCUGGUCUGAGAGGAUGAUCAGCCACACUGGGACUGAGACACGGCCCAGACUCCUACGGGAGGCAGCAGUGGGGAAUUUUCCGCAAUGGGCGAAAGCCUGACGGAGCAAUACCGCGUGAGGGAGGAAGGCUCUUGGGUUGUAAACCUCUUUUCUCAAGGAAGAAAUUUUGACGGUACUUGAGGAAUAAGCAUCGACUAACUCCGUGCCAGCAGCCGCGGUAAUACGGAGGAUGCAAGCGUUAUCCGGAAUGAUUGGGCGUAAAGCGUCCGCAGGUGGCUGUGUAAGUCUGCUGUUAAAUAGUGAGGCUCAACCUCGUAAAGGCAAUGGAAACUACAUGGCUAGAGUGCGUUCGGGGCAGAGGGAAUUCCUGGUGUAGCGGUGAAAUGCGUAGAGAUCAGGAAGAACACCGGUGGCGAAAGCGCUCUGCUAGGCCGCAACUGACACUGAGGGACGAAAGCUAGGGGAGCGAAUGGGAUUAGAUACCCCAGUAGUC
Molecule: ribosomal RNA, 662 nt
Filed under: uncultured cyanobacterium
Lineage: Bacteria; Bacillati; Cyanobacteriota
Description: bacterial SSU rRNA
Rfam family: Bacterial small subunit ribosomal RNA
Source: RNAcentral